RNAcentral lists this long non-coding RNA (257 nucleotides) under Gossypium raimondii (Peruvian cotton). RNAcentral's name for it is "long non-coding RNA (GRAI_LNC006835)". Lineage: Eukaryota; Viridiplantae; Streptophyta; Magnoliopsida; Malvales; Malvaceae. The record is from RNAcentral.
UACAAGCUGAUGUUACUCGUUGCAGUAUCCGAAGCUUUUCGGCUUCAAGCGUCUACAAAGAUGCUCAAGCUCCUUUACAAACUUUACGGCACCAUCAACUAUGGAUGCUUGUUCAACACAUGCAACCAUCAUUUGUGUUAAAACUUUAAUUUUAAGCUCUUGCUUUGGAAAAAACGUGGGGUGAUAAGAGAAAUGGAGGAAAAUAAAUUAUAUUUAGGUGUUAUAAUUUGAUUUGAUUGGUUAAAGUUUUUUUUUAG